GCGGCGCGGAGGCAACUUCGGGGCGGCCCCGCGGAGCCCGCGCGGGGGAUGGCGGCGGCGGAACCGGCGUUGAGGCGGCGGCGCUGAGGAGGAGGAGGAGGAAGAGGAGGCGGCGGCGGCGGCGGCGGCGGCGGCGCGAUGCCGGCGGCGGCCGGGGGGCUGCUGUGGUGGAGCUGCUGCGUGCUGGCGGCGGCGGCCGGCGCCCCGAGGGCUGCCGCGGCUCAGGCAGGUGGGUGCGCGGCCGGGCGGGCCGGGAAGUUGGAGCGGGAGCCCCGGCGGCGCGAGGAGAGCGCGGCUCGGAGCCGCGGAGGAGCCGCGAGGAAGUUGCGGGGCGCCGCGAUGUGGGGAUUUGAAGGCGUUCGGGAGAGCGACGGCGCGCCGUGCCCGCGGCCGGGCGCCUCUCAAGGCUUUAUGUAACGGCGUUGGGGCCGGGAGCGGUGGAGCGGCUCAGCCCGUCCCGCUCUGCGCGCCGCACUUCGCCGCCCGUCAGCGCUUCCCAUCCCCGGCAGCGGCGGGCGAAGAGCCGCUCCGCUCCGCGCACCCCCGGGUCCCGUUCCCCGCAGCGCCGAGCGGGGCAGCCCCGCGGGAGGAGUGCUGUGUGCCCCGGCCGCCUCGUUCCCCAUCUCUCUCCGCGUUCUCCCCCUUCUCCCGGCUUUCUCCUUUCCCAGCUCUUCCCAUCCCGCAGCCGAUCCGUCCCCCCUAACGUGAAGCGCCGAGCUGGGGCCGCCCCGUUCGUAAAUCGGGGCUCAGUGUGACCCUUGAACGCAGCGCGGGGGGCCGGCCUCGUGUUGGUAAGCGCUCGCCCAGAGGGCACUGCAGGUGCGCUUUCAGGGUGCGAGCGUUUUAGGGUUCCCCUCCCCGAAUUUGAGUGCCGGCAGUUCGGGCUCUCGGUGCCCUGCGGACGGGGCCGCGACCUCCUCCACGCUCCCAGCGCUCCCGUGGGGGCGGCGAUGCCGUCGCCCAAACUUUUGCUCUCCUCAUCCCGCGCCCGUUGCCGGCAGCACGGACGCAUCGGGGCUCCGUGAUGUUUUCGUGCGGCGAUGCUCGCGGCGCGGGGUUCCGCCGCGUCACGUGGAGCUGCUACCUGGGAGCCUUUGUUCUGCUCGGGGAUCGCCGGGCGACCCGACCCGCUGCUGUUCCCGUACCCGGGCGGGGCGUUCGGUCAUCGCCGCCGGAUUGCGUGAGAGCCGCUCCGGAUUGAACCAAACCACAGUGAGUCCGGCCGCACGUAGUAAGCGGACCUAUCGGCGGCACGUCGGCGUGGCGGGGCAGGGAGCAAAGCAGGUGGUGGCCCUGCUUCGGGGCCGUGCCGUGGCAGCAGCUGUAGGUGGCAGCAGCCCCUCGGAGCUCCCCGCGGCGGCAGCGGGGCCGGAACCCGCCGAGCUGCCGGAGGGACGCGCGGUGCCGUGCGGUAACUCGGUGCGAUGGAGGGGUGAGCGGCCGCAGCUCCCCGGAGGUGGGCAUUGUCGCUGGGCACCGGGCACAUGCCGAGCUCCUGAAGCUUCGGAGCAGCUGCUGCUAUAUAUAAACCUGGGUUUUAAUCGGCCUGCCGGGAAAACCCGUCCCGCUGCGGGCAGCUGUGUGUUGGUGGGUGCAUCGAUGGUACGGCAGCACUGGCACGCGUAGGGGCGGCCAAAUCUGUAACACAAACCCCAGGAGCACGUACGACGUGAGCUGUGAGAAUAGCACCAAUAUAAAGGUGAUGAGGAGUAGAAAUUCAGGCUGUAAGAAUGUCUUAUUCCUGCUUUCUGGUGAUACCUGCUCUUUGUUUCUGCCUCUGAAGCCUAUCAGAUCCGGUCCCUGCCAUAGAAGUAGAUGGGUAAAUAAAGUAUAUCAGCUUGAAAGUAAGCCCCGGAGU
Molecule: long non-coding RNA, 1858 nt
Organism: Phasianus colchicus (ring-necked pheasant)
Lineage: Eukaryota; Metazoa; Chordata; Aves; Galliformes; Phasianidae
Source: Ensembl